CGCGCUUCCGCGCUCCGCCUCGCAGCAGCCCCCGAGGUCGCCGUCUGCCCCCGCCCCGCCACUCAGCCAGCGCCCGCAGGAGCAAGGCGGCGCGCAGGAAGCCGGCACAGGGGACCAGGGACCCUGCCUACCUCUCCGCGAUGUAAAGGGUGCCGGUGCCGAGGCCCUUGCCGUUCAGCACAGCCUCGGUCUCCGGCUGCUGCUGCCGGAGCCCCUCAGCCGAGCCGGGCGGCGGGAAACUUUUGAGAAAGCUCAUAGCAGCGCCGAGCGCGGGGACACAGGCCGGUAGCGAAGCGAAGCACGGCCACUGCAGCCACACGCCUCGCCCCGCCCCGGAAGUGGUGGCGAUCACGCCGGAAGAGCAACUUAGUCCGCACCAGAAUUCGAGCCCCAUCCACCCGACGGAGAGACGUUCUGAGAUUGGAAAGAAACCAAGUUCUGCCCCAAUCCACCCCGUCCAUCCCAGCACGGGACAGUCCCUUUGAAGGUGCACGAACCUCCUAACAGGAUUGGGCAAGCUGCAAUUCAGACACCAUUAUCAAGAAGCAACUUUGCUAAGAGAACAAAACACCAGACCCACACUGAGAAUACCCUAGCAUUGAAGUCCAUGGUUCUUUGGCAGGUCAUAUUAAAAAGAAAAAAAGACUAUCAGUACACGUGAAUUUAUUCUAAAUGAAACUCAUCUUUAUUCCCUGCAUCUGCAACCUUGACCAACUGGAAAGCGAGGAGUCAAGGACACCCGACCUCAUUGUAUCAGAGUCUCUACUAUUCUCCUCAGACUCUUCCUCUUCGUCAUCGUCAGAGUACUUUUUCUUUGGGGUCUUUCUCCGCAAACGCCUGCUUUGCCUCAUUGGCCGGGAAGGAUGUCGCCUCAGUCUUCGGCUACAGAAAUCAGUGUCGCUGUCAUCAUUAGAUGGUGGGUCUUCUUCACUCUCAUCUGGGUUUUCAUCAGAUACAACAAACUCGUCUUGAGAUCUGUUCAAGAGAAACCAGAUACAUUAAGACUCGGAGUUCAAAUUCUACCAAGUGCAGUGAAACAUUAAAUAAUGGUUAAUGUAAAAUACCUGGAUAAUUAUAUCAACCUGUCUGUUAAUAAAAUGGAGAAAGGAUUUGCAA
Suricata suricatta (meerkat) is the source of this 1116-nucleotide long non-coding RNA. RefSeq lists it as uncharacterized. Lineage: Eukaryota; Metazoa; Chordata; Mammalia; Carnivora; Herpestidae. The transcript has 4 exons. The record is from RefSeq and is a predicted model, not a curated record.